UAGUCCUAGCCGUAAACGUUGUGCACUAGGUGUGGGGGGAAUUGACCCCCUCCGCGCCCCAGCUAACGCGAUAAGUGCACCGCCUGGGGAGUACGACGGCAACGUUAAAACUCAAAGGAAUUGACGGGGACCCGCACAAGCGGUGGAGCAUGUGGCUUAAUUCGAGGCAACGCGAAGAACCUUACCUGGGUUUGACAUAUAGGGGACCGUCCGUGAAAGCGGAUUUCUCGUCGGAGCCGCUAUACAGAUACUGCAUGGCUGUCGUCAGCUCGUGUCGUGAGAUGUUCGGUUAAGUCCGGCAACGAGCGCAACCCGUGUCGUCAGUUGCCAACAGGUAAUGCUGGGAACUCUGACGAGACUGCCCGUGUUAAGCGGGAGGAAGGCGCGGAUGACGUCAAGUCAGUAUGGCUCUUACACCCAGGGCUGCACACGUGCUACAAUGGUCGGUACAAUGAGACGCGACAUCGCGAGAUGGAGCAAAUCUCCAAAGCCGGCCCCAGUUCGGAUUGU
RNAcentral lists this ribosomal RNA (510 nucleotides) under uncultured bacterium. Its description in RNAcentral is "bacterial SSU rRNA". It matches the Rfam family "Bacterial small subunit ribosomal RNA", at positions 791 to 1301 of the family's 1533-position model. The record is from RNAcentral.